UGGGCAACCUGCCCCUCUCUCUGGGAUAACCCCGGGAAACCGGAGCUAAUACCGGAUACGACCUCCGCGGGCAUCUGCGGAGGUGGAAAGGUUUUCCGGCUGAGGAUGGGCCCGCGGCCUAUCAGCUAGUUGGUGGGGUGAUGGCCCACCAAGGCGACGACGGGUAGCCGGCCUGAGAGGGCGACCGGCCACACUGGGACUGAGACACGGCCCAGACUCCUACGGGAGGCA
This 231-nucleotide ribosomal RNA is filed under the name uncultured bacterium. RNAcentral describes it as "partial 16S ribosomal RNA". It matches the Rfam family "Bacterial small subunit ribosomal RNA", at positions 118 to 350 of the family's 1533-position model. The record is from RNAcentral.